Molecule: transfer RNA, 59 nt
Filed under: Loxodonta africana (African savanna elephant)
Lineage: Eukaryota; Metazoa; Chordata; Mammalia; Proboscidea; Elephantidae
Rfam family: tRNA
About the family: Transfer RNA (tRNA) molecules are approximately 80 nucleotides in length. Their secondary structure includes four short double-helical elements and three loops (D, anti-codon, and T loops).
Source: Rfam by way of RNAcentral
UGGUGUAAAAGGUUAACACGCUUGGCUGCUAACCCAAAGGUUGGUGGUUCGAGUCCACU